CACAGAGCAUUCCAGUCCUACGGCAAUGGUAAAACACCAUUUAUAAGACGGUGGAAAGGCAAAAGAAUGUAGCCGUUCUUUUCUCCCCAUUUUCAAAUUUGAACGUGAAAGAUUUUAUUUGAAGGUUUUAAAAGAUUUUGAAUGGAGAGAGAGCCUUCCGGUGAAAUUUCUCUUUAUUCCUCCACCUGUGUCUUUGCCCUCGAUUUCUCGAUUUUGCUCAAUCGAUGUACUUCUGGUGCUAAACAUUGCCUCUCGAUAGUUUUCAAUGGUAGCAGUGAUUUCUAGUUUGAGCUAAGGUCGUGAGAAUCUUUGAAAUUAGAUGAACUCCAGCACGAAGUCAUUUUUUUGCUCGUAUUAAAGAUUGACGAUAUGCACGCCUUUUUCUCUCCUUCGUUUUGGCUACGCGGGGUUAAAGAUUCGCAAUAAGCUCGCCGCUUUCCCUUAUCCCUUUUGGAUUGGGCAUAUGCUUCUUGUUCUUUUGCUAGUCCUCAGCUAUCCGGCACAGAGGAGACCUAAAAGAUUUCUCAUGACAAGGCAAACCCACUGCGAUUGUUGGUCUCCAAGGCCUCUGCGGGUUAUAUGUAAGUGAAGGUGAUAGGUGGAAAUUUUUACCAUUAACAAUUUGCAAUGUUUCUUUAGUUUUCUUUUUUAUUUUCUUUUUUUCUCUCUCUAUAAAUAAAUUCGUAUCUGAAACAAUGACUGCAUUAUUUUACUUUUUCUUUUCCCCCGAUCUUUCUAGUGAAAAUUGAUUCAUAUAUGUUUUAUAAUUCCCCACGGGGUAAUUUUUAUUUUGGGUUCUAAUGCAAAUCCACUUCUAAUUCUUUCCUAGUUUGGCUCAUCCUCUUGGCUAAGAAUGUUCAGCCCAACCGCAUCCUUCAAUGAGAACAAAUUCCGUUGAGUCCAUACGAUUUUGAAAGUUUUUUUGUGAUCCUACCAGGUCAUGCAGUGGGACGCACAUCGAGAUUAUUGAACAUCAUGUGCAUGAUUUGGCCACUGUUGGUUAUCCGGUUUAGAGUGUGAAACAAUCAUGUUUCGGUGGCUUCCAUCAUGCUUGUUACUGAAAUUGCGUACAAUGUUUUUUUUGUACAUGUUUCACAGUCUAAGAGAUCCUUGGUUGACGAAGCUGUACUAGAUACUGAACGGAGAUGAGUUAAGGUCCUAAGUUUAGGACUUCUAAACCAAGAAAGGAAAUCCAGUCUUCCAAUAUUAAGGUAAUUGUUUAAAAAACAAGACUAUAUAUUUAUAGAAGAUUAAAUAGAUGGACCCUAGUUUUCACAUAGGUGGUACUUAAUUUUCUCCUGAAUGAUUAAGCUUUGUUGUUAUUUUUGUCUCAUUGAACACAACAUGUUCUUAUCUAUUCAAGAUAAGUUUUUUUGUUUAUUGUCAAGAUGAGGUGUUUGCUAUUAUACCUGCAGUACUUGGGAAUUAAACUACCGAGAGCAAAAGCUUUUGAGUUUGAAUACUAUUUAAACUUAUAUUCCUCAGACUUUGCAUGAACCAAAACUUGGAAAUCUAUAAACGUAACCAAAACUUAUGGCAAACUACUGAGAGCAAGGCUUUGUUAUGAUGUGUGAGUGCGUUGUGACUUUGGCAAUGAACCUUCCUACUGAUAUGUAGAGCUACUAGUUAUAUUAUUCAUCAGUUCAUCUUUCUACCUUGAGUUAUAUAAUCUUUUACGGUCAUGUGAAGAAAGGAAAUUUUUAUUUUUAUUUUUUUAUAGGUAAUAAGAGAUUUUAUUCCAAGUAAAUAGGCAUAACCCAAGUAUACAUGAAGUAUACAAGUGAAUACACCUAAAUACAAGCUAAAACAAAAAAGAAUAAAAAUGAGACAUUACAAAUAUCUUUAUUUUUUUUUGCCUACUUCAUAUUUCUACUAUAUGGAGUAACUUGGAUGAUCCUGUUCAAUUCUAAGAUCCUGUUCAAUUCUAAGAUCCAUGUUUCCUAUGAAUUUAGGGGUAUCAGUUAAAUGCUGAAACUUGGAUGAAUGUUUGAAUGGACGACAAAGUUAAUUAUAGCUGUAUGAAAUCACUGUGAAUGGUUUGGUAUGCUGGAGAAUCGAACUUUUAUCACUAUCAAAAGCUGAAUGCUUUGUUUAAGCAUUGUAUUUAAUCUUUUUACCAAUUUGUUUACAUGUGGAUUUAUCAUGAACACAUUGUUAGAGGCUUGUCCCUGCAGUACUAGGGAGUUAGAUUACUAGGAGAGCAAUGACUAUAGGUUUGGAUAUUAUUCCAACUCAUGUUACUUAGAAUUUGCAUGAACCAAUGCUUGAAAACUAUAACUUUAACCAAGACUUAUGUUAGAUUACUGAGAAUAAAGGCUUUGUUAUGAUGCUUGUGUGUGUGAUUUUUUCAAUGAUCUUUUCUAGUGCUUUAUAGAGUUACUAGUAAUAUUGUUCAUCUGUUCAUCUUACUUUAGUUCAUUUUCUUUCAGUGAUAUUUCCUAAAGUUCAAUUUAGAAGUACAAAUUAUAUGUUAUUGCCAAGCUAAUAUUCUUUAGGGGAAGAUCAUUUGAAUUAUUCCAAGCACACUUUAGUUGCCUCAUUUUGUUAUCAUAAUUGCCUAACGUCUUCCCUGAUAACUAUCACUAAUGUCUCUUGGAUCCGACUAUGUUAAUCCAUUUCUUAAGGAACUUUGGAUUGCUUGCAGCCACAUUAAGAUGCAACUAGGUGUUGUGUUUUGGAAUAUGUCUGUUGCCAUCAUUGUAAGGAAAAUAAAUAUCAAAAAGAACUUUUUGUCAUCAUUGAGAGUGGAGAGUGUGGGCAUGUAAGUAUAUUAAUUCUUUUUUUAGGAGAUAGAAGGUGGGUUUUAAAACCCUGUGCACGUGUGCCUUUGUGGGUGUCAGUGUUUUUUUUACAAUGAUAUAUGAGAUUAACUCUAUUUACAUAUAUAUUUUUCAUGCAAUAUUAGGGAUUUCUACAUCCUUCUAGCACCUAUUUGCCACACUUGAUUUUGGACAGCAAAAUGAAGGAACAGUGAUUUUGGCAAAGCAUUAGCUAAAUAUGGGGGUAAUAGCAUUUUAAUUAAUUUGUUCAUGCUCUGCUAUUUGAUGGUUCCGUAUGUGCUUUAUAUGACUAAUCUUUUUGUGGUAAAAACUCAAGUAUAUAUGCUGUUUAUUAAAAUCCACUUAUAUGUUAUUGCUAAGCUUUAUAAUUUCUUUUCUUAAAUGUAAUCUUAGCGAGUUUACUGGACAUAAAAACUCUCACACUCUCUCUGUCAAAAUGAUAUUGAAACAAUGAAAAUUCCGAUAAAAUCUUCCUAGAGCCAAAUUUAUAAUGAUGCCUUUCUUAGCAUACCAAAAUAAAAGUAUGGUUAUCUUUAGAUUAGGUCUCUACUAAUUGAAUACUGCUAUUCAUUUUCUCUCUGUUUGUUAUGUGAUAUAUGUCUUCUAAUUGCAUGUGAAGUUAGGGGAGACUUGAAUGCACAUUAUAUUCAUUCUCAAUAUGAGAUAUUGCAAAAUUACUUUGUUCAUGUUUCUUCUAUUGCAUUUGUGCUGUUCUUGAAAAAUGGCUUUUAUUACUUUACCAGAAUUUGCUUAACCUUUAGGAUUAAAGUUGCUUCAUUGUAUAUUACUUAUAUUAUUAGCAUUCUCUUUAUUGUAGUCAUUAUUGGUGGUUUACUCUAUUAACCACGAGUAUACAUUGACUGUGUUCUCUCUUCCUUUUUAGAAUGGAAGCAUGUGACAAAGUGCAAAUACCUUCCCCUUUAUAUAUCAUAAGCAUGGUACAAAUUUAUUUGACUUUUAUUCUUACACAAAAAGUAGUGAGAUGAAAAGGGCAUAGGGGGCUUCUUCUAUCCUCUUGCGAGUAAACUAAGGGAUCAUCUCUCCAUUGUGUAGUAGGAUUAGGUCUCAUGUCACCCAAACUCACUUUGCCUAUAUCUCAUCGUCUUGCCUCCUCCCCCCUCCACUACUUCUUGCAGCUCCUCUUCCUCCUCCACUUCCACCUCCUCCCCUCCCUACCUUCCCUUCCUCUUCCUAGUGCCUUCAUCAUCUCAUUAUCAUUGUUAUCAUUAUCACAAUCUCAUCGUCAUUUGCAUCACAUCCUCAUCUUCAUAACCACCAUGUUCCAUACUCAUCAUCUUUUCAUAUCAUUUAUCAUCUCAUAAUGUUUUCAUAUCAUCAUGAUUUCAUCACAUCCUUAUCUCCCAAACCAUUGCGAUUCAUCUCAUUCCAUCAUUUAUCCAUACUCAUCAUUUAUCAUCUCAUCAACUUUUCAUAUCAUUAUCAUCUCAUAAUCUUUUCAUAUAUCAUUAUGAUAUCAUCACAUCCUCAUCUUCAUAACCAUUACGAUCCAUCUCGUUCCAUCAUUUUCCAUACUCAUCAUCAUCUCAUCACCUUUUCAUAUCAUCAUGAUCUCAUCACAUCCUCAUCUUCAUAACCAUCAUGAUCCAUCUCGUUACAUCAUUAUCCAUAAUCUAUCAUCUCAUAUCAUUAUUAUCGAGACUAUCCUCAUUAGUUUCAUCAUUUUCAUUAUAAUGCCCCUGUAAAUGGAACUUUUUAG
This is a long non-coding RNA of Carya illinoinensis, 4497 nucleotides long. RefSeq lists it as uncharacterized. The record is from RefSeq and is a predicted model, not a curated record. The transcript is spliced from 3 exons. Lineage: Eukaryota; Viridiplantae; Streptophyta; Magnoliopsida; Fagales; Juglandaceae.